Molecule: ribosomal RNA, 404 nt
Filed under: Verrucomicrobiota bacterium
Lineage: Bacteria; Pseudomonadati; Verrucomicrobiota
Description: Verrucomicrobia bacterium partial 16S ribosomal RNA
Rfam family: Bacterial small subunit ribosomal RNA
Source: RNAcentral
GGAGGAAUAUUGCACAAUGGGGGAAACCCUGAAGCAGCGACGCGGCGUGAGCGAAGAAGGCCUGCGGGUAGUAAAGCUCUUUUAGGAGGGAAGAUAAUGACGGUACCUAACCAGAAAGCCACGGCUAACGACGUGCCAGCAGCCGCGGUAAUACGUAGGUGGCAAGCGUUGUCCGGAAUUAUUGGGCGUAAAGCGCGCGCAGGUGGCUUAUAAAGUCUGAUGUGAAAGCCCCCGGCUCAACCGUGGAGGGUCAUUGGAAACUAAUAAACUUGAGUGCAGGAGGGAAAAGUGGAAUUCCUACUGUAGCGGUGAAAUGCUUCGAUAUUAGGGGGAACACCGUUGGCGAAAGCGGCUUUUUGGCCUGCCACUGCCACUGGGGCGCGAAGGCGUGGGGGGCAAACAGG